UUUCACAUGCUACACAGUGAGAUCCGAGUUGGUCCUCCAUCCAAGGUCUGCCAAAUUGUAGAGGUUUGUGCACUGCUGCACAACAUCUGCAAAGCAAGAAACAUCAUUCUUCCUGAGGAAGAAGAACAUCUUGCUGCAGCCGAGGAUGGAGGCAACGAGGAGCGACUCCUAGCACAGAAAGUUCAAAGUCGCCAUGAAGUAAUCCUUUACAGGGAUGAAUUUGUUGUGCUUCACUUCAACAUUGAUGAGUGAUGAGACACCAGUGUCAUGACUGCUGAGAUUGGUGUUAUUCUCAUGUGGAUGAUCUCCUCCUCAUCCACAAACACCAGUGAUGUACCAGGCAAGUCUGGCCCCUGUUGGUGCUGCAAGUGGUGUGGCAGGUGCCUCCUCCUCAACACCCACUGCCUCGGUCACCACUUCUCUCUGUUGGGCUGCCUCUGCCACUUCCCCAGCAUCAUCUGCUGCCUGCACACUGCUGGCAUCAUUAGUUCUAACUUCAGAAACUAAGCUGAUAAUGUUUUUGGUUUUAUUGCUAAGGACAAAAGUAACAGAAACCAGUAAAUCUAGCUAAGGGUA
Molecule: long non-coding RNA, 576 nt
Organism: Portunus trituberculatus (swimming crab)
Lineage: Eukaryota; Metazoa; Arthropoda; Malacostraca; Decapoda; Portunidae
Exons: 3
Source: RefSeq, a predicted model, not a curated record